This 533-nucleotide long non-coding RNA is filed under the name Sinocyclocheilus rhinocerous. RNAcentral describes it as "lncRNA (ENSSRHG00000040238.1)". Lineage: Eukaryota; Metazoa; Chordata; Actinopteri; Cypriniformes; Cyprinidae. The record is from RNAcentral.
UACAGAGCUUUGGACUCGUUAGGCACAGAGAGUUUCAUGUAUGAUCCUGGCUUGCCCAGAAUGGUGUAUCACACACACACACGGACAAAGGCUGAGUCACAGAAUCACAGUAAAUUGCAAACGCCCUCCCAGCAGAAACAGAACGGGCUGUAAUCCGUUCCCUCUCUCUGCUGCUUUCUGUGCUGCUCAUUCCAGGGAACGUCUCCUCACGGCAGUGAGUCUGAGAUCUGAUUGAUUACUGAUCAAGAUCCUUGCAGAUGACAUGCAGUCUCAGCUCCUGGGCCGUUCAGCAUCACAUCGAAAGACGCCCUGGAACCACAGAAAGAAAGAAACGUUACAAACAGCCCUUUACACAAUGACAGGAGGAGAGAAAGAGAGAGCUAUUUAUGGACUAGACUUGGAUUUCCAUGAAAAAGCCCCAGUCCCUGUUCCCCCAGCUCACAAAGCACCUCCAUGAUUUAACAAGAUACAGUUUCACCAUCUGUGAGAACACAGGGAUCUUCCCAUGACCCCUAGAGUUCACAUGGAGAGAG